AAAAAAAAAAAUCUAUCUUGUUAACAUUAAUAACAAUUUUAACAUAUUUAAUAUAUAUAUAUAUAAAGGAGAAAAAUUACUAGAGAAAAAAAAAAUUUGUCAUGGCAUGGGCUUUUGAUGAACAUUAUUGCAUGAUAAUUUAAGUUGACCCACAAAAGCAAGAUGACGCUUGUUUCUUGGUAAGAUGAAAAUAUGAUGAUACUUUUGACCAAUGCAUGCGGCCUAUAUAUUAUUUUGCUUUGGAAAAUUUUAUGCGUUAUCUAAUGUGGACCAAAUAACAACUUUCAUUGCCUGUGUGGUUGGACAAUAUCAUGCUCAUUAAACUUGCAUUUCCUUCACAUUUUGUCCCUAAUUUCCACCCCCCAGCUCAAUAUCAUAGGCCUAUAUAUAUGUCAUGGGCAAGACAAGCUCAACCCCAGAAAACGAAAGGUGCAUGGCUAUAUAUUCAUUGGCAUUUAAUUAAGAUU
This 467-nucleotide unclassified non-coding RNA is filed under the name Hevea brasiliensis (rubber tree). Lineage: Eukaryota; Viridiplantae; Streptophyta; Magnoliopsida; Malpighiales; Euphorbiaceae. The record is from RNAcentral.